CCGUAUGGCGACCGGCGCACGGGUGAGUAACACGUAUCCAACCUGCCGAUAACUCGGGGAUAGCCUUUCGAAAGAAAGAUUAAUAUCCGAUAGGAUAUCAAGGUCGCAUGAUCUUGAUAUUAAAGAAUUUCGGUUAUCGAUGGGGAUGCGUUCCAUUAGUUAGUUGGCGGGGUAACGGCCCACCAAGACGACGAUGGAUAGGGGUUCUGAGAGGAAGGUCCCCCACAUUGGAACUGAGACACGGUCCAAACUCCUACGGGAGGCAGCAG
This 269-nucleotide ribosomal RNA is filed under the name uncultured bacterium. RNAcentral describes it as "partial 16S ribosomal RNA". It matches the Rfam family "Bacterial small subunit ribosomal RNA", at positions 84 to 354 of the family's 1533-position model. The record is from RNAcentral.